RNAcentral lists this ribosomal RNA (485 nucleotides) under uncultured bacterium. RNAcentral's name for it is "partial 16S ribosomal RNA". It matches the Rfam family "Bacterial small subunit ribosomal RNA", at positions 28 to 507 of the family's 1533-position model. The record is from RNAcentral.
GAUGAACGCUGGCGGCGUGCUUAACACAUGCAAGUCGAACGGGAUCCAAGGGGUGCUUGCACUUUUUGGUGAGAGUGGCGAACGGGUGAGUAACACGUGAGUAACCUGUCCUUUUCUUUGGGAUAAGCAUUCGAAAGGGUGUUUAAUACCUUAUGUUCUGUCUGCCUCGCAUGGGGUGGGUGGGAAAGGCUUUGGCCGGAUUUGGGUGGGCUCGCGGUCUAUCAGCUUGUUGGUGGGGUGAUGGCUUACCAAGGCUUUGACGGGUAGCCGGCCUGAGAGGGUGGUCGGUCACAUUGGGCCUGAGAUACGGCCCAGACUCCUGCGGGAGGCAGCAGUGGGGGAUAUUGCACAAUGGGCGAAAGCCUGAUGCAGCGACGCCGCGUGGGGGAUGAAGGCCUUCGGGUUGUAAACUUCUUUUGCUCUGAACAAGGCAUGCCAGUGGGUGUGUUGAGUGUAGGGGUUGAUUAGCGCCGGCUAACUACGUG